GGAAUUUACAGUGGCAUAUUUUCUUUAUAACUGAGAUUUCAGCAGAUGUGGUGGGCAGCAGACAACAGUCUUUGUGACUCUUCCCUGUGGAUUUUCCCAUCAGCCAUCUCUUCAACCUGUUCAUCAUGCUCAGAAGUUUCUGAGGUUAUGACUGAAAAUGGAAUCUGGAAUACAAAGAAUGACAGCAAUAAGAAACAGAAAAAUUUUGAAAAAUUUAGAGGGUCUAACAUCCUGGACUUCACAAGAAGGAUGAAACACACUGACAGGGGGACCAAAGGAAUUUAUAGAAUGACCUGAUGCCGAAACAGUCUUUUCCUUCAUGGAAUAUGCACCUACGACAUGACAAUAUUCCAGGGCUAUAUACAAAAUCAGUCUUUUAAUUUUUUUUCAUAUGUUUGUAAAGUAUUACUAAAAAAAUCACUAAAAAAACCCGUUGUGAGCAAGUGCAACCUAUUCACAUUGCAUAUACUGCAAAUACUGAGAGAUGUAUGCAGUUGGUUACCUCUUAUUUUGAUGGUGAAAACUAAAAUUGGUUUCAGCAUAAUUGGCAUUAAAAUUGAUGUCCCAAAAUACACUUAUUUUCAGGUAGUUGGAAAAAAUAUGCUUAAACACUGUCCAAACAGUAAGGCCAGGGAUAUUCAAAGUGCCCAUUGUUGGCCUAGUUUUUGAAGCAGAUGAGAAUAGAAUCAGGCUUUUGAAAAUAAAUAUACUAGAAAGGAGAUUUCUUUUUUUUUUUUAAUGUUAGAUAUUUAAAGAGAAUAAAAGAGCCUACAGAUUGCUUUCCCCUAUUUUUGGCAUGAUCCAUUUACAGGCCAAUGCGAAGCAAACAAGAUAGUUACGUCAGAUAACAAAAACAGGCUCCAAGAGUAGAAGUGACUAUAGGUGCUCUCCUUUCAUUAAAAAAAGCUCUUUCUCAUAUAAAUCUAUUAGCAUCACUUUAAUUCAUGCAGUUAAUUUUUCUUUCCAGUUCAGAGGCCAAUCCCAAGAGGAAAAAAAUGUCCUCAGCUCAACCCCCUAUAUGUGGCAGGCAUUUAGCAGGUCUUGAUCUCAAAGUGCUGAUGUAAAUGCUUAAGAUUAAUAUGUGGUUAUGUGGUUUUCUGAAUUAGAAUCUCUGUCAGGUUGCUUAUUUAGCUACAGUUUGGAUAUUAAGAAAAUCUUCCCAUGUUGGCUGACCUAAUAUGGGAAGUGGAAUUAUUUUGAAUAUUCCUUUUGUUUUAUACAUUGUGGGUAACUUAUAUAGGAUAUAUAAAUAUUUGUAUGAGAGACAUAAAUUAGAUAAUAAACAUUUCCUGCUUUAGUUCCAAAAUUUUUUUCUUUAUAUUCAUUGUGAUAACAUAUGACUGUGACUGAGUAAUUUCUAUAUACAGUGAUAUAAAAAUGCUGAAAAACUCGUAUUUGUGAGUAGAUAUGCAAAGGAAAGUUCUCAUAAGGUAUACUUGAAACUAACAAAUGCUGGUAUAAAUUCAAGUUCUUGGCAUGUAUACCACCCCAUGCUAAUGUUGCUGUGUGUCGCUCUAGCAUAAAAGCAGGCAAUGCUCAAGUGUUUCAAGUACUAAAUAUCUUGGUACCUCCAGUAUAGCUGGCUUAUAGGUGGAUAAAUGCACAGCUUGAACACAAAUAAGCAAGGUGAAGGAGCUAAUAUUAAAUAUCAGAUUUCCAGGAUGACCAGUUGCACCUGACAAACUGCAAAUGUUCUCUGCUGGUAUCUUCAGCUUAAAUCCUAAGAAUAGGAAAAUUUAAAGCCCAGUAGGACACAGUGUAGCAUAAAGAUGCCAGAGCUAGCUUUAAAUGAAUUAUUUUGGGUACUGGCAACAGUCAAGCUGUGAUAGCAGAGAGCUAACUCUGCGUAAGAAGUUUGUUCUGCUGCAUGGGCAAGUUUAACAGCCUGUCCUGCACUCCAUUCUAUUAUUGUGAGAUGUCUGCAACGCAGUAUUUUGCAUAGCACCUCUCAUGCAAAAUGUAUCCAACAGAGUUGGAGACACGUGGCAAAAAGCAGUUAGAUAGGCUAGAGCUACACUGCACUAUAAUAUGCACAAAUUAUGCUAACAAUAUUUAUGUUACCGAUUUGCCCUUACUCAGAACUUUCCCAGGUGAAAUGUGCCCAGUCUUGAGAUGCAUCCUUUCUUUCUGCAGAGAGAAAACAUUCACAUGAAAUGAAAGAAAUUAGUUAUUUCUAAAGGAAGGCUACUUUACUAUUUAUAAUGGGAAAUGUAAGAAAAUGAAUAGUAAGUCUCCUAACACCUACAAUUAUUGCAAGACUCAAAUGAAAUGAACAAAUUCAGGACUACUGCUGCUGCUACAAAAGAAAAACAAAAACCCAAAAAAC
Molecule: long non-coding RNA, 2326 nt
Organism: Athene cunicularia (burrowing owl)
Lineage: Eukaryota; Metazoa; Chordata; Aves; Strigiformes; Strigidae
Exons: 3
Source: RefSeq, a predicted model, not a curated record